RNAcentral lists this long non-coding RNA (980 nucleotides) under Brachypodium distachyon (stiff brome). RNAcentral describes it as "long non-coding RNA (BDIS_LNC002901)". The record is from RNAcentral. Lineage: Eukaryota; Viridiplantae; Streptophyta; Magnoliopsida; Poales; Poaceae.
GCAGCAGCCCCAACAGCAACAAUCUGCUCCUGGAACUGCUGCACCUACUGAGGCUAGUAGCUACAAUUACAGCCAGCCUGCCACUUAUGCCUCACAAGGUUAUGGCGAUUCUACCUACUCUCAGCAGAGCGGUGGGCAGCAAGCUUAUGAUUACUCUGCUUAUCAGAACCAAGGGCAGCAGCAGCAGGCGUACUCUCAGCAGACUGGUUAUGAUCAGCAAAGCUAUGGCGCAACUGGCUAUGGAUCAGCUGCUAACUCAACACAGGAGGGUUCCGCUCCAAGCUAUGGUGGUCCAGGUGGGGCAGGUGGGGCUACUCAAGUAUCUCCGGGGCAACAAGCUUCAACUCCAGCUACUGGAAGCCACCCUGGUUAUUCUAGCCAACCACCUACUAGUGCUGCAGCAAGCUAUCCGGCUCAAGGUUCUGCCCCUCAAUCUGGAUAUGUCGCUCCACAGACACAGCCUGGCUAUGGUACCCAGGGCCCGCCACAGGGUGGCGGGUAUGGUCAGGGUGCUUAUGGGCAGUCUCCUCAGGGUCAGAAACCACCUGCAUCUGCUCCUUAUGGACAGGCACCACCUGCUGGAUCUUCUCAGGCUGGUUAUGGGCAGUAUGGUUACAGCCAGCCAGGCUAUGGUGCACCACCGCCUUACCCUGGUGCACCACCUGCGAGCCACCCAGGCUAUGGCCAGCAGCAGUUAUAUGCUGAUCCUUAUGGUACUGGUAGCUAUGGGCAGCAUACGGCGUAUUCUACUGAAGCUACCGCACCUGCUGCAUCCCAGGAUCAAUCCGCCGCUGCACCUGUACCGACGGCUGCAACUGCUGCUCCUGCCCCUGAUAACGGUGGUGGUGCGCAAGCUUCUCCAAGUUAAACUACACCUGCUCCUGCCUCAGCUACAUCUGCAAUCUUUUAUUGGCUCUGUUACAUCGUAUUAUCAUUUUAAUUGUUGCUUUAGCCUGGACUUCGGUUAUGUCUUUCUCUGG